UGUGCCUCAUGGAGCUGUCGUAAGGAAUCAGUUGAGUAAUUGAGAAUUCUACGCUCCAGCAAUAGCAGAGAUAGAUAACACAAAUGACUUUCGCCCGCCCAUGGCUGCCCAUGGACCAAUUGGCAUGUGCUUCCUUCCCUCUGAGGCCCAUAGAAGCCCUGGACUCAAUCUGACUCAAGGAGAUGAUGGGACUACCAGCUGCGGAAAGGAGCUACCCACUCCAAGGUCUCUGCUGAGAGCUGAACACUCAUCAAGACACCCUGCCUGCAGGGAGGAGUUACCCAAUGCAGGUCUCCUCUGAGCUGUUCCAUUGCUCAAUAAAACUCCUCUUUGCCUUGCUCACCCUCCACUUGUCCGUCUACCUCAUUCUUCCUGGACACAGGACAAGAAUUCGGGACCUGCAAAAGGGUUGUAACACAAACAGGGCUGAAACACAUCCCUUGCUCGCCAUAUUGUAGGUGACAAGAAGGAGAGAAAAGAGAAGGAGAGAAGAGCUGCAGCCCUUCUGGGAGCCCAGGCCUAGGAGAUCCCUGAGCCAGGGCUAUGACACCCUCUUUGGGGCUCUAUGGUUCCUGGUGUCUCCAAGCUUCCGGACGCCACUGCAUUCCUCGGUGCCAGCCGUGGAAGCUGCUGUGGUACAUUUGGUCCAGCCACAGCCUUGCAGGGAGCUGGCUCCCAUGCUGGUGCCUAUAGCUCCCCGCCCCACCGCUGCCGGCUUGCCUGGCCAUGCACAGUGGCCAGACCUCAUGCUCACUCAUGCACCCUUCGCCACUCCACACCUGGCCCGCCCUUGGCAGGUAUGGGAUUCAGGGAUCCAGCCCCAGCUGAUUGCAGCCUGCCAGGCCGAGUGGGUGGAAUGAGACCUGUGGGCCCAAGCAAAACUCAGGCAAAGGCACCACUGGCCACAUAGGUUUCCAGCUGGUGAAGUGACACCCCGAGAAUCCCAUGACAUUAUCAUACACUCUUCUUAAAAACUGAACCCGAGGGAAAAAAUGAUACCCUUGAACAGUGAGGCAUAA
RNAcentral lists this long non-coding RNA (1019 nucleotides) under Pan troglodytes (chimpanzee). Its description in RNAcentral is "lincRNA". Lineage: Eukaryota; Metazoa; Chordata; Mammalia; Primates; Hominidae. The record is from RNAcentral.